This is a non-coding RNA of Paramuricea clavata, 255 nucleotides long. The record is from the annotation of a GenBank genome assembly. Lineage: Eukaryota; Metazoa; Cnidaria; Anthozoa; Malacalcyonacea; Plexauridae.
CAAAAUUAUAGAGUGAGCAAACAUGAGACAGAUAGGUUUUGAACCUUUCAAAGUUCGAGAUCGAAUUGACAGUUGAAAUAGUACCAAACUCCAAGCUGAAAUGUCACCCAUCUUAAGGGUUCCUUUCAGCUUUCACCUUGCCAAGACCUGUCACUAAAUUAUGGGUUGCCUGAAUAGAUAUAAUUCCUCAAAUCAUGAAUGGUCAUGAUUUUUGAAGUUAAUUUGAUAGAUAUUUUUAAUUGCAUGGAUUAUUGG